UGGCGAACGGGUGAGUAACGCGUGAGGAACCUGCCUCAAAGAGGGGGACAACAGUUGGAAACGACUGCUAAUACCGCAUAAGCCCACGGGUCGGCAUCGACCUGAGGGAAAAGGAGCAAUCCGCUUUGAGAUGGCCUCGCGUCCGAUUAGCUAGUUGGUGAGGUUACGGCCCACCAAGGCGACGAUCGGUAGCCGGACUGAGAGGUUGAACGGCCACAUUGGGACUGAGACACGGCCCAG
RNAcentral lists this ribosomal RNA (240 nucleotides) under uncultured bacterium. Its description in RNAcentral is "partial 16S ribosomal RNA". It matches the Rfam family "Bacterial small subunit ribosomal RNA", at positions 96 to 334 of the family's 1533-position model. The record is from RNAcentral.